RNAcentral lists this ribosomal RNA (253 nucleotides) under uncultured bacterium. RNAcentral's name for it is "partial 16S ribosomal RNA". It matches the Rfam family "Bacterial small subunit ribosomal RNA", at positions 524 to 776 of the family's 1533-position model. The record is from RNAcentral.
UACAGAGGUCUCAAGCGUUGUUCGGAUUCAUUGGGCGUAAAGGGUGCGUAGGCGGCGCGGUAAGUCGGGUGUGAAAUCUCGGAGCUUAACUCCGAAACUGCAUUCGAUACUGCCGUGCUUGAGGACUGGAGAGGAGACUGGAAUUUACGGUGUAGCGGUGAAAUGCGUAGAUAUCGAGAGGAACACCUGCGGCGAAGGCGGGUAGCUGGGCCGACACUGACGCUGAGGCGCGAAAGCCAGGGGAGCGAACGGG